This is a long non-coding RNA of Oncorhynchus keta (chum salmon), 1103 nucleotides long. RefSeq lists it as uncharacterized. The record is from RefSeq and is a predicted model, not a curated record. The transcript is spliced from 4 exons. Lineage: Eukaryota; Metazoa; Chordata; Actinopteri; Salmoniformes; Salmonidae.
ACAACACAGGACACUCCAGGAGGUGAUAGCCUGGUUCCCUCCUCAGGUCACCACAACACAGGACAGUCCAGGUGGUGAUAGCCUGGUUCCCUCCUCAGGUCACCACAACACAGGACAGUCCAGGUGGUGAUAGCCUGGUUCCCUCCUCAGGUCACCACAACACAGGACAGUCCAGGUGGUGAUAGCCUGGUUCCCUCCUCAGGUCACCACAACACAGGACAGUCCAGGUGGUGAUAGCCUGGUUCCCUCCUCAGGUCACCACAACACAGGACAGUCCAGGUGGUGAUAGCCUGGUUCCCUCCUCAGGUCACCACAACACAGGACAGUCCAGGUGGUGAUAGCCUGGUUCCCUCCUCAGGUCACCACAACACAGGACAGUCCAGGAGGUGAUAGCCUGGUUCCCUCCUCAGGUCACCACAACACAGGACAGUCCAGGUGGUGAUAGCCUGGUUCCCUCCUCAGGUCACCACAACACAGGACAGUCCAGGUGGUGAUAGCCUGGUUCCCUCCUCAGGUCACCACAACACAGGACAGUCCAGGUGGUGAUAGCCUGGUUCCCUCCUCAGGUCACCACAACACAGGACAGUCCAGGUGGUGAUAGCCUGGUUCCCUCCUCAGGUCACCACAACACAGGACAGUCCAGGAGGUGAUAGCCUGGUUCCCUCCUCAGGUCACCACAACACAGGACAGUCCAGGUGGUGAUAGCCUGGUUCCCUCCUCAGGUCACCACAACACAGGACAGUCCAGGAGGUGAUAGCCUGGUUCCCUCCUCAGGUCACCACAACACAGGACAGUCCAGGUGGGGAUAGCCUGGUUCCCUCCUCAGGUCACCACAACACAGGACAGUCCAGGUGGUGAUAGCCUGGUUCCCUCCUCAGGUCACCACAACACAGGACAGUCCAGGUGGUGAUAGCCUGGUUCCCUCCUCAGGUCACCACAACACAGGACAGUCCAGGUGGUGAUAGCCUGGUUCCCUCCUCAGGUCACCACAACACAGGACAGUCCAGGUGGUGAUAGCCUGGUUCCCUCCUCAGGUCACCACAACACAGGACAGUCCAGGUGGUGAUAGCCUGGUUCCCUCCUCAGGUCACCACAACACAGGA